UACGUAGGGUGCGAGCGUUAAUCGGAAUUACUGGGCGUAAAGCGUGCGCAGGCGGUUUAUCAAGACAGACGUGAAAUCCCCGGGCUUAACCCGGGAACUGCGUUUGUGACUGGUAGGCUAGAGUGCGGCAGAGGGGGGUGGAAUUCCGCGUGUAGCAGUGAAAUGCGUAGAUAUGCGGAGGAACAUCGAUGGCGAAGGCAGCCCCCUGGGUCGACACUGACGCUCAUGCACGAAAGCGUGGGGAGCAAACAGG
This 253-nucleotide ribosomal RNA is filed under the name uncultured bacterium. RNAcentral describes it as "partial 16S ribosomal RNA". It matches the Rfam family "Bacterial small subunit ribosomal RNA", at positions 524 to 776 of the family's 1533-position model. The record is from RNAcentral.